AAAUUGAAGAGUUUGAUCAUGGCUCAGAUUGAACGCUGGCGGCAGGCCUAACACAUGCAAGUCGAACGGUAACAGGAAGAAGCUUGCUUCUUUGCUGACGAGUGGCGGACGGGUGAGUAAUGUCUGGGAAGCUGCCUGAUGGAGGGGGAUAACUACUGGAAACGGUAGCUAAUACCGCAUAACGUCGCAAGACCAAAGAGGGGGACCUUCGGGCCUCUUGCCAUCGGAUGUGCCCAGAUGGGAUUAGCUAGUAGGUGGGGUAACGGCUCACCUAGGCGACGAUCCCUAGCUGGUCUGAGAGGAUGACCAGCCACACUGGAACUGAGACACGGUCCAGACUCCUACGGGAGGCAGCAGUGGGGAAUAUUGCACAAUGGGCGCAAGCCUGAUGCAGCCAUGCCGCGUGUAUGAAGAAGGCCUUCGGGUUGUAAAGUACUUUCAGCGGGGAGGAAGGGAGUAAAGUUAAUACCUUUGCUCAUUGACGUUACCCGCAGAAGAAGCACCGGCUAACUCCGUGCCAGCAGCCGCGGUAAUACGGAGGGUGCAAGCGUUAAUCGGAAUUACUGGGCGUAAAGCGCACGCAGGCGGUUUGUUAAGUCAGAUGUGAAAUCCCCGGGCUCAAC
Molecule: ribosomal RNA, 623 nt
Filed under: Escherichia coli
Lineage: Bacteria; Pseudomonadati; Pseudomonadota; Gammaproteobacteria; Enterobacterales; Enterobacteriaceae
Description: bacterial SSU rRNA
Rfam family: Bacterial small subunit ribosomal RNA
Source: RNAcentral